This 443-nucleotide ribosomal RNA is filed under the name uncultured bacterium. RNAcentral's name for it is "partial 16S ribosomal RNA". It matches the Rfam family "Bacterial small subunit ribosomal RNA", at positions 338 to 795 of the family's 1533-position model. The record is from RNAcentral.
CCUACGGGAGGCAUCAGUGGGGAAUAUUGGGCAAUGGGCGCACGCCUGACCCAGCAACGCCGCGUGAAGGACGAAGGCUUUCGGAUUGUAAACUUCUUUUAUCAGGGACGAACCAAGUGCCGGUACCUGACGAAUAAACCACGGCUAACUACGUGCCAGCAGCCGCGGUAAUACGUAGGUGGCAAGCGUUAUCCGUAGUUCUUGGGUGUAAAGGGCGUGUAGGCGGGAAUGCAAGUCAUAUGUGAAAACUAUGGGCUCAACCCAUAGCCUGCAUUUGAAACUGUCUUUCUUGAGUGCUGGAGAGGCAAUCGGAAUUCCGGGUGUAGCGGUGAAAUGCGUAGAUAUACGGAGGAACACCAGUGGCGAAGGCGGAUUGCUGGACAGUAACUGACGCUGAGGCGCGAAAGCGUGGGGAGCAAACAGGAUUAGAUACCCUGGUAGUC